AACGAACGCUGGCGGCAUGCCUAACACAUGCAAGUCGAACGAGACCUUCGGGUCUAGUGGCGCACGGGUGCGUAACGCGUGGGAACCUGCCUUUAGGUUCGGAAUAACUCAGAGAAAUUUGAGCUAAUACCGGAUGAUGUCUUCGGACCAAAGAUUUAUCGCCUUUAGAUGGGCCCGCGUUGGAUUAGCUAGUUGGUGGGGUAAAGGCCUACCAAGGCGACGAUCCAUAGCUGGUCUGAGAGGAUGAUCAGCCACACUGAGACUGAGACACGGCCCAGACUCCUACGGGAGGCAGCAGUGGGGAAUAUUGGACAAUGGGCGAAAGCCUGAUCCAGCAAUGCCGCGUGAGUGAUGAAGGCCUUAGGGUUGUAAAGCUCUUUUACCCGAGAUGAUAAUGACAGUAUCGGGAGAAUAAGCUCCGGCUAACUCCGUG
Molecule: ribosomal RNA, 433 nt
Filed under: uncultured bacterium
Lineage: Bacteria
Description: partial 16S ribosomal RNA
Rfam family: Bacterial small subunit ribosomal RNA
Source: RNAcentral